Long non-coding RNA from Brassica napus (rape), 1643 nucleotides. RefSeq lists it as uncharacterized. Lineage: Eukaryota; Viridiplantae; Streptophyta; Magnoliopsida; Brassicales; Brassicaceae. The record is from RefSeq and is a predicted model, not a curated record. The transcript is spliced from 2 exons.
GAUUUAUAUGUCAGUACCAAUUUAAUUAUAUAUAUAAUAGUCACUGACUUCUCACUAAUUUAAUAUAAGUAAAAGACACAAAUAAAUAAUAAUACAUAAAAUUGUAUGUCUACACAACACUCAUUCUGUACAAGGUACAUAUCUUAAUUAUCUAGUAACAAUAAUCUUACAAUAAUAAAAUGGAAAUAUACUCAAAGGAGAGGAUGUCCACGUCAGCUAAUAAAAUCAUCCAAUUAGAUGCUUCCUUUUUUAACAUGUUAUUCCAUCUUCACGUGAAACAAAUUAAAGGAGAGGGUGUCCAUAUUUACCCUAAUAUUCGUUAUAAUCGUCUUGACUCUUGACUCUUCCAUUUCAUUGUCGUCUUCUCAAGGCCAACUCGGUUACAACUCUAAUAAACACAAAACGAAAUCCCUUCGGAUAUCUUUCAGAACUCCAACAUCAUUACAAAGCUUACUUCUAUAAAUAGAGAACCUUCGAAGAAGAGAAAUUGAUACAAAGCCUGCGAAGAGACCCAAAAUGCAACGUUAUAGUCCUACAAACGCAGUAACACAUUUCAAUACCGAUUUAUUUUACGAACUCGGGCUAAAAGAUCUGCUAUGUGUUUUGAUUUUUUCCCUCUUAGUGAUGAUUGUAUUGUCAUCCUUAGAUGGUUUUCUUCGUUAAUUCAGGUCACAAAGUCGUUUGAACUUAAUAUGAGAGGUUUAAGAACUUCAUGAACAAUUUGUUUACUCAUCAAAUCUGAGGAGUCGAUAGGGAAUUUCCGGGUAAGGAAAAAAAGGCUCGGAUUAUUGCAUUCAUGAUACGACUACUCCACGGUUAUCUAUUUCCUGCUUACUAUAUUUAUUGCUUUGUCUUUGUAUCUUUUGUUUGUUUAUCAAUUUUUCCUUACUAUUGGAUUCUACAGGGUUCUUAUAUGAUAGCAGAUAUGGUGUUAUGUGCUUUGCCGAUCACGAUAAACAUGCAUUUGUCUAGAUGGUUGAGUUGAUUUCCACAGGCAACACACAAUGGAAGUUUCUGGGUGGUGUGCUCCUAGAGCGGUUAUUGUUCAGCAGGGUAUACGUAAUAUGCAGGUUUUGGAGAAACUAAUGGAGUAUCUUUAUGGUGACUUCGCCGUUACAAGAGCUCUUGGAGACUUUUCAGUGAAAAGGUACUCACCCAUUGGAGGAUCUUUGUCGCCUCUGAUCUCAGAUCUGGAUUUUAUGCAGAUGGUUCUAGCUGAGGAAGAUGAGUAAUUGAUUAUGCGAUUGGACAUAAUGACAAGCCAGUAUGCUGCUACAUUCGCCAUGCCAAUGCUCAGGAUACACGGUGACCCAAAAAAGUUGUGUGAUGGAACUUGGAAGGGAAGCAUUAAGGCUUGAGUCUGUCGAAUAAUGUUAUAGCUGUGGUCAUUCUGCGUCAUGCUGUCAUCACCAACUCAGAAGAAGAAUACAGUUUUGUGUUUCUUAUGAAUCUCGAGCCUGGUUGAUUACACGCUAUUAGUUUUGUAUAUAUGUGUUUGGUUGAGGAUGGAGAGCUUUUGGUAAAGUUUGUAUUUUAAAAUCAUGAAUUUUUAGUUUCCUAUCUUAUUUAUAGUUGUAUACAGACUACUGGUUUCUCUGUCUUUUUAUUGAAACAGCUUGAGAUCAAGGUAUUGUUUUACUAUA